AAAUAUUAAAAAGCGAAUAAAAAUAUUAAAUGAAUUUUAAAACAAUGAAUUAUACUAAUAGAAAACUCAAUUAAAACAGAAUUUAAGUAGAAGAGAUAAUUUACAAAAUAAAAAAACUUAUUGAAAUAGAAAUAAUGACUAAAGCUUAAUAUACACGAAUAUUCAGUAUUUAGGCGCGGGCCAAAUUGAAGUGUCACACAAAUUCUAGGGCCAAUUUAAAACAAAUAAAAUGCGAAUAAGGGUUAAUCAAAAGAAUGCGCAAACGGGGAGGACUAUACGCCAAAAUCUACCAUUUUCAAAUUCUUUAUAUGGCCAAAUUCCAACCAAACAACCUAAUCGGCUAAACCAAACUCCAAUCCCCUUUUUUCUUCCUUAUCAAACCCCAAAAUCUCACUAAAACUGGCGAUUCACAUUCCCCAAACAGCAGCCAACAUAUUCAAGCCCUGAUAGAAGAUCUUUCAGCCUUGAAGUCUCUUUUCCACUUCGAUCGCAACGAAGCAAAAGAAACUUUCGGCAUAUUUGCAAGAUAAGGCUUAUUCUUCUCUUUUUCUUUUGUUUUUCCUUAAAUGCAUAUGAUGAAAAACAAAGAAAAUAGAUGAACAAUUAAUAGAAGACGAAAGAAAUUAAAAAAAAAAGAAAUCAGAAAUCACCAAAAAGAACUACUUUCCCCUUUUUCUCUUAAGUAUCCGUAAAAAAUAUAGUACAUUCAGUCAUCCCUUUUAUAGCUAAAAAAUGAAAAUAAAAUAAAUAAGAAAAGUCCAAUUGCUUUGCUGUAAUACUGCGUAUUCUGUUAUUUGCUUAUUCUCGCGUGUUCCAUUUGCAGAAAAGAACCGUCCAACGGCACGAGCAGAGACGCGCGCGAGGGACUGUUGGCGCACGUGUGGUGUUCGUCCGUAUCACUGGCUGGUUACUGGUGAUUUCCAGAAGCUUCUGGCCUUGCUUUGAGUACGAACUGCUAGGAGCACAGACUAUGGCUGUGGCGCUGAUCAGCAACUGGGAUUUGGGCUAGGGUUAGUCUUAGAUUGGGCCACCUGUGAAUCGGGCUAGGGAUUUUAGGUUUUGGGCUUUUAUUGGGUGUUGGGUUUUGUACUAGGCUACUAUAAUUUGGGGUUAAUGGGUUUUGAAAUUUGGAAUGUAAGUGGACUGUUAAAGUUUGGACUUUUUAUUUUUAUUUUAAUUUAUUUUUGGUUUAUUUUUUUGUUAACGGGCCCGGGCGAAAUGGGCCUAUUACAGUAAUAGUGACUUUCAAUAUCAUGCAUCCAUAGUGAAGUGGGUUGGAUGAUGAGGCACAACAUGCCAACAAUGGGGCGGUAGUGAAUUUGGCAACACUCACCCCACCCCAUUUUCAUGAUGUCAUCCCUACUCUAACCGCUCAAAUGACAAAAUAUCAUUUUAGCAUCUUUAAAUUUCUAAAAUUAUAUGUUAGUUUAAUGGUAAAAAUAUACUUUAGCUCCUUAAAGAUGAUAAAAUUUCAAUUUAAACCCUUUAGAAAUUCUAAAAUAAUAAAUAUAUAAUAAUUUACAAUACUAUAAUAUGAU
RNAcentral lists this long non-coding RNA (1538 nucleotides) under Gossypium barbadense (sea-island cotton). Its description in RNAcentral is "long non-coding RNA (GBAR_LNC000538)". Lineage: Eukaryota; Viridiplantae; Streptophyta; Magnoliopsida; Malvales; Malvaceae. The record is from RNAcentral.